Molecule: transfer RNA, 72 nt
Filed under: Neorickettsia helminthoeca str. Oregon
Lineage: Bacteria; Pseudomonadati; Pseudomonadota; Alphaproteobacteria; Rickettsiales; Anaplasmataceae
Description: tRNA-Gln (TTG) (tRNA-Gln-TTG-1-1)
Rfam family: tRNA
About the family: Transfer RNA (tRNA) molecules are approximately 80 nucleotides in length.
Source: Rfam by way of RNAcentral
UGGGAUGUAGCCAAGCGGUAAGGCAACGGUUUUUGGUAUCGUCAUGCGCAGGUUCGAAUCCUGCCAUCCCAG